Molecule: non-coding RNA, 9976 nt
Organism: Xyrichtys novacula (pearly razorfish)
Lineage: Eukaryota; Metazoa; Chordata; Actinopteri; Labriformes; Labridae
Source: the annotation of a GenBank genome assembly
AAAAUAAUUACGCCUGCAAUCAAGUUACUGCGAAAACCUAUUUGAUUAGCGGCCACACUUUACUCAAAUUGCAGCUAUAAAAUUAAGAACAAUUCGCCUGUAAUGAUUAUGGCCUGGAUUUAUUUUGGGAGGGUGGAAUAAAAGUGGAUAUAGCAUAAAUUAUCCCCUAAUUAUACGCCAGUGUCGCCUCAAUUAUCCUCUUAUCAAAAAUGGUUGUCUAAACGCAGCGUUUAGUUUCAAUUUUCUCCUUUUCUGUAACAAGAACUUGGUACCUUGCUAUUAUCGUCAGGCUACGGUUGUUAUUUACUUUGUGGGAUUUAAAAAGUGCACACAACUCAGCCGGAUAAUCAUUUUACAGCAGCGGGCAGAGAGAGGAGCACAGAAGCAGGGGAUGUGAGGCACAGGACAUCCACGUGGAUCUAUUUUAUCUCUCCAGAUUCCUCUUGGUUAUUUUAAAUCUCUUUCAAAAAAUCUCUUCUGCUUCUUUGUCUCCAGGAAAGCUGCAGGUAGGAGUUUUUUUUUUUUUUUUUGAGGCUCUUCUAACUUCAUUGACAUUGAUGGAUGGUUCCAUUCCUUCUGAUUUCUCUGCUUUUUUUUUACGCACACAUAUUGCGCGCCCAUGCAGACCUCGCAGGGAGCACCUUUGGUCACCCCUCAGUGAUCCAACACAGUGGCCAAUUCCCCUGCCCGUGUUCCACUUGGACACGCAGAGCAGAAACCAGAUCCUUUACCUUUUCUAAUCGCCUUUGAGUGCUGCCUCAAAGACAUACAUGCUCUGCUCCCUGCGGGCAAAAGAAAAAAAAAAUCUCUUGGUUAUAUAGAUUGGAUGAGACAGUGUUUGCAGCGUCAAGAAGUGCGUGUCAGUGUGUGUGUGUGUGUGUGCCACCACAUGAUUAUUAAGUUGCGGGAUGACCAUGCGGGUGUAAUGUCAGAGUCUCGGUGUCCCGCAGGCGUGUUUGGAGGCUUCUCUGUGAACACUGAGAUUAAGUGGAGUGGUGAAAGGACGGAUUUGUUUGAAUAGAGAGAACAUGACAUAGUCGACCUUGGUGCUUUUGAAAUGCUUAACAUGUAGCAUGAAAGUUGACAAGCGUGUCUAAUUGAGAGGCCUGUGCAGGAUUUUUUUUAUCAGGGCUGAAUUUCUUCAUCGCCUUACACAACUUCAUAGUUUUUGCAUUCGUGUCCAAGAAUGAUUUUAGAAUUCAGAAACCGAUACGCCUGCUGCGUGUCAUUUCUUGGUGUACUCUGUCCCAUUAGGAGUUCAUAGCCUCAUUCCGAAGAGGGAUUAUUUUAUAUUUCACUUCCCCAAAAUGUCAAUCAGAAGAUGAAACGGCCUUAAAUCCAGAAAUCACUUUUGUCCCUAAGUAGAUGAUUGACCUCCAGCACAAUCAAUGGCCGUGCUGGUUUAACAGAAGUGGUCUUUAUUUCCAGCUGUCUUAUAAACGCUGAUGAAUGACUCUCUAAAAUCACUCCAGGCCUGGGAUUUCCCUGACAUCCACUGUCUGAUCCAGGGAAAGAAAAAAUGAGAAUAUUUAACGUUGAGUUUGGAGGUGUAACCAGGCGUUAUUUUAUGGUUAACACAGUCACAGUCAGUGAAAAUGUCCUCAAGCUAAGAUAGGCAGCGUCAUUGUAAUUGGAAGUACCAUUAGGCCCUUUACGCACAUUUAUUUCUGCACAGAUUUCCAGCAGAAUGGUCAGAAAAGCUGUGAAACCUAACAAGCUCCCCCUCUCUUUUUGCUCUCCUCCUCUUUCUGACUUGUGUGUCACUGGCUGUUUUAACACCGCCCGUCUUUUCUUGUCCAUCCGGCCACAUGUGUUAAUCAUAUCUGAGCGUUAACACGGAGUUCCAGAAAGACACAGGUCAUAAUUGUCGCGAGUGGCUGGGCGUUUGCGGUCGUUUCCCUCUAACAGCUAUUGACUGGCUUGCAUGGAAAGCCACCUCCUCGGCUUCUCGGGGACCCAGGCGGUCGUGGGGGGAAAGCAGAGGCUUGUCACUGCAGAGAAAGAUGGAGAGGCAGUUAAACAACAUGUCUCCCUUCUCCACAAAAGCGCAAAGCCACUGGCGCUGCGCAGACAGCCAGGCGUCGACGGCUCUCCAUCUCUGCUGUGGGAAGCAGAUGCAUGCUACACGCAGCUGUCUGUGAAACAUCCUUGGUUGUAACCAGAGUCAGAAAGAGCAGCAAACACACCCACAGCAGCCAAAGUGAUCACCGAUCAGCCUUUAAUGCUUGAGCAGAAUUCAUCCGUGCACAAAUGGUUGCUUGCGCGCCGCUAUUACGCACAUAAAUUGCGCACGGCGUACUAAUGCAAACCCACUUAUGCAAAAGCUUUGAUGUGUUUAGUAGAAGCGUGCAGCUACACCAAGAAAAAUGAGUGUGGUUUGGUUUAUAAAGAAAACCAUGCGCGCUGCAGGCAGGCGACUGUUUACAAUAAGUUUUGCAUCAGAAAUUAGGAUCGCAUUAUCUCUCCAGUAAAUAGUAAAAUUGGCAUAUGCAUGGCCCCAGGUGCAGGCGAGGGGGGGACUUCAGAUGGACCCAGUGUAGCGUGAUGCUAGUGGAGCUAAAUGACCACAAAUAAGCAAAAGGCCCUGCGCCACUGAGCCUUCACAGCCUCUCACACGCUAAUGGAUUUAAUUUGGCACGGCUCAAGCUGCACUGGUCCCACUCAGGGCCUGGGUCCUAAUUAAGACUGCCUCUCUCUCUCUCUCUCUCUCUCUCUCUCUCUCUCUCUCUCUCUCUCUCUCUCUCUCUCUGUAUAUUCUAGAGACACCCAAAGAUUGCCUUGCGCCUUUUUCUGCACCAUAUUUACAUCAUUAGUUUGACAUUUAUUUCUAAAAUUGUCAAAUUAAACUGAGGCAGACAAAGAGUUUUUGGACGAGUUUCAUGCGUAAAAUCCUAAUCAGAAAGGCAAGGAUAGGGGGCACAGGGUCCUCAGAUUAUGAGCUUAAAUUUAUUUCAUGUUUAGAUGUUUACAGAAAAAAACUGCUUCAUAAAAUUUCGAGAGUUUUGACGUGGACGUACUGUGUCUUAUCUGCAGUUUGAGGCCUAGAGUUAUAGCUUCGCCUCAUUGCUGCAGCUUCCGCCUAUAUGAAAACGCAAAACUAGGACCUUAUACACCGAGUCAAUAAACAAGGAACCACAUCCAAAAAUUGCAUCUGAAAUUUAUGUCAGUAUCAAAUAAGACUAUAAGAGUGCCAGGGCGCGCUUUGGUCCCCUUUUCUUCCCUCUCUCGACUUAAUACGCGACAUUAUUAGGUCUGACAGCACAGUGGUCGGUCUUGAAGGAGAGGAUUUGGUCGAUAGAUGACAGACAGGAAGGCCAGCAAUCAUGGGCUCUUUUUUUAUCAGAAUGUACUGUUCGAUGCCGUUUAUCCCUGAUGAUAGAAAAUUGCUCUGUUGCCAGGACGCUGCCGCCGAAAUAGAGGGCAGGAGCAACAUUUCCAUUUUCUAGUUUGAAAGCCAUUGAAAUGAAUUAGUAAAAAAUGAAAAAAAAGAGGAAAAAUGAGAAAGAAUCCCCUGGUAAACAAAGGGGAGCAAACAAAGAUACCAUUUUCUUUUGCCGAGAAUCCACCCUCCUCAUUUCCCCUGUUUUCUCUCACUCUGUGUGCCUGCCUCUCUCUCCCUUUCUCUCUCUCCCUCUCCCUUCACUGAAGGUUUUACUUCAACAGUUGCAAAUCACAUGCUUGGCUUCUAAUGUAGUCCAAGGCCCGGGCCUACUUCAAAGACAAUCAUUUAUUUCCCAACCUCCCGGAAUAAUUAGAGCGCCUUUUCAUCCGUCGUGACAGAGUAAAAAAAAGGGAGAGAGAGAGAGUGUGAGAGAAAAAUUAAGACAGAAUAGUUGACGACGAGGAGCAUUAAGCAAACUCCUGAAAUGUUUAACCAGCAGGAACAAAUGAACAAAAACCUGUCACAGUGGGAGGAAUGGCGAAAUAUUAGAGGACGACAUUUGGUUCAUAAGAUUUUGGAAAAACUGUGUGUCAAAAGUCCAAUUAGGUUUGGACUCCAUCAUCAUUGUAAAAGCCACAAAUAAAAAUAAAAAACGAUUUAUUUUGUUUUAAUAGACUUUUUUCUAUUAUAAGCCUUUUUAAUUCAUUACAUUUAUUAUUUUUUCUUUUAUAUUCGUAUCGUUGCUCCGAGAAAUCGUCCACGUUAUCACGUCAAACUGAUAAAAUACGCCUUUUCUUGAAAAGAAUUUAACUAAAAUAAGGAAAAAAAUCCGAGUAAAAGCAUUGAAAGAAAAACAGCGGAUUAGAAAAAUCAUUUAAAAAAGAGUAAUUCCAGGAUGAAUGAUAUUUUCUCCCCUUAGCGGGGAUUUUUCGUUAAGUGAUAUAAUUAGGUGUAAUCUGGGGAUUAUCUAUCAGCGGCACAGACAAGUCCUGCGGUGAAAAGGCCUCAUCAGUCUACAAGAGGGGGCGACUGUCUGUGUCCGAGCGGGCAGGUGCUUUUAAAGCCUCCACAGGCACUGAACGCGCCUCCAGCGCGCGCCAUACGCUGCGUGGAGCCAGAUAGAUGGAAACAUAACAGCCGAAGCACUGGAUUAAGAUGAAGCUUUAAGACAAGAUCUAAUAAUGUGUGGAGGACACGGAAGGUAUGACUUCAACAGUGAAACUCCUUACAGGAGGCCGUAACAAAGGAACCAUAAUUGCAGGACUAUUAUGGUUAAAUUAGCUGAAUUCGUAAUGAGGUUUGGUGCGUAAAAACAACCAAACUCAUUUUACAAACACAAAGCAUUAAAUUAUGUGUCUACUGAAUUAUCCAAAUUGGGCUACACAAUAUAAUAAACAUUUCUGGUAAUAUUACAGACAAAAAAAAUCAGUUUAAUUUUUAACCAGCUUUAUUCUUUAGGACUGUAUAACUGAUGUAAACAUGCUUUUAUUGGAUAAGCUUGACUACACGUGUGAAGUAUGAACUUUAUAGGAUAAUAAUGACAGUGAGGCUUCAAAUUUGGAACAUAUGCUGGACAAAUAAAGUCAAUAAUGAGCAAAUAAAAGUCUUUGUUAAAAGACUCAUCUGCAAAUGCAACCAGAUGAUGAACCUCAUAGAAGAGAAAUAAAUCCUGAGAAAGCGUAAUGCAUUCACCGAGGGGCUUUAAAUUAAUGGAAGAGUGAUCUGAGCUUCAAAGUCUCAUCAAACUUUUUAAUGAGUCCAAACCAGACAGUGAAGAUACAAAAAGAUCCAGUUUAUUUUGUCAAAUCAAACGCUCUCCAUGCACACAGCACAAACGAAUAAGAAAAACAGUGUGUGCUCCUCUAACAGGAGAGUCCUGGCUCUCAUAGUGAAAGCCCCAAUGGAGGAAGUGCUGCACACAAUAGCCGACACUGACUGUGGAAUAAAGGAGUUUGAAAUUUAAGAGCAUGGUGUGAAGUGAAGUGGAAAAAAAAGGGUGAGGAGAAAAGGAAUCACACCUGGUGAGAUGUGGUGAGGUGGGCGAGAUGCUGCUCGGGUUCUCAGGAACUGGGAGUCGCAGGAGUUUGUCAGGUGAUAUCUGUGGACCUUUGUCUGCUCAACAUUUGGACACUCCUACCUGAAACUGCUUGCUUCAUGUUCUCUUUAGUCACAGGUUUGCACACAGAAAGAACUUGGUGUUAUUUUUGCAAACAGCAGAUGCCUACAACCCGAAAAAAACCUGAAAUUAAAAUACUGUUCUCUUUUGCAUUAGAGAAAAUGGCAAAUGUCUGAUUAUUGAAGGUACAAAUAUGACCUCUGAUAACAUAUCAGACGUUAUUAUGAAGAUGAUUUAACAAUUAAUCAUAAAGAUAAUGCUUAAGGAUUAUGCAUAAAAUACAGAAAGCAAAGAAAAAAAAAUUAGCAUAAAAAAAAAACCCCUGUAAGUUUGGACCCAAAAAAUCUGGUAUAGCCUGUUGCAUCAUCAAUACCAUCAAUUUUUCUAUUUGUAUUGCGGUUAUUUCAUUUCUAUGUAUUAUGAUUAUAAUUUGGUCCAUAACAUCUUUUUUGGGUGGCUUAAUUGCUGUGAUUAAUGGAAUUCAUCACGUCUUUCAAGUCUUAAAAUCCUGUUAAGGCUCUUGAAUAGCAGCUUAAAACCAUCAUGUAAAAUAACCAAAAUUCAGAACAUGAAAUAUUCAGGUCCUAGUAAGUGGAUUUUAGAGCAAAACAAUGUUUGAAGUCAAAAAAGCCCAAUAAUUUCUGCAAAAACCACCAAUCACUGUGUAUUAAAAUGAAAACCCCCACAGUGCUUUUGUGUAUGUAAAAAAUAUUAUGUGCAGAACAUAUUGUGCAGAUUUUAAACCUAAAAUAAUCAUGGAUGUUGCAUUGUUACACCAUUAUAGAAGAUGUAGAAUUGGCCUCACAGUUUUCAGUUAUUUGGAAGGAUUAUUUAAUAUUUUAUUGUCAAAAUUAACAACUUUAAGUAUAGUUUCUCUAGUUACCUUCAGCUGCACUUAGAUUUUCAUUUCUGAUCUAAAAAGGCAGCAUUCAGUAGUCAACCCUAACCAUAUAUAACCAUCACUCAGGCCUCAAAUACAAAUGAAAUAUCAGCCUUUAAAUCCUCAAUGCACGCUGGUCUCCAGUGUUCUCAGAGUUAACCCAGCACAGAUCACAGAUCAGUUUAAUGAUUUGGCCAAAAGAUCAAAUCUGCAGCCAGCCUCAUCAUAUCCCAGUUAUUAAUUAUCUGCCUCUCAGCCUUUAUUUUCAUUUGCUCUGAACUGUCAGAGUGGAGUGGAGACAUUUUUAGGACUUUGUCCAUCCCGCUGAAGUGAAGGUAGCCAAUUAUUGCAUUCAUUGUCCUUGAAAAUGCAUUACGCCUCACCUGAGGGCUCACUCACUCACUGAGACUGAAGGGCCGAUUAACAGAUGACUUCUGACCUUAAUCCAUCGCAAAAAAAUCACCCAAAAGAGCCAGACGGCAAUCAGCCAUUCUCACCCGCUUUAAUGUUUCAAACUUUUCUUAUUGUUGACACCUCACCUUGGGCAGCAGGAGGGCAACUCUCGGUUUGAGACCUUGAACACUGACUUUCAUUUACAGCUGUUUGAAAAUGAGGCCAGAUGAGUGAAUCAAUCACAGCUUUUCCUGGCUGUGGAUGAGUCUGCUUGAUUUUGUUAAAUGAAAAAAUGUGUCAAUUUUAUCAUUGAAAUUAGAGCAAGAACUAGUGGCUCCAGUGAUUCUCUUAUUUCACAUCCACCUGUAAUAUAUACAACAAUUAAAAACACUGCAGUGCAAUAUGAAGCAGAAAACACAGCAAGCAAAAUCCCUAUGUUUAAUGAUGUACGUUAUCAUUUUAACAAUUUAAAACAUCUGCUACUGAAAAUUACAUUGAUUAGAUAAAAGAAACAUUAUAUUACAAUUACAUAUUUAAAGACAGGUGACAAUGAGCUGGGUUAUAGUUAAAAGACACAUGAGUACUCACUUUGUUUUUUCAUGUAUUUUGAUGUAUUUUAGUCGCUUAAUUUUAACUGUGAAACUAUGUUAAAUGGACUGCUGCCUGUUUUGGUCGAGACUCUCAAAUAAAUAGAUUUUUAAUCUUAAUGAAUUUUUCAUCUUGUUAAAUAAAACAGAAAAGCCUAUACCUAUCCUAAUGUUGUGUUAUAAGCAUAACAUACAUUAAUUUAGUGUCGGUUGCGACGCAAAGUAAUAUAAAUGUAUAUAUGUUAACGAGAUAUUAAUCAUUGUAAUUAUUUAAUAACCAUUUAUUUAACAUUUUAUCUGCCUAUAACCACAUAAUGUUACACUUCCAUCAUUUAUUGAUAAUCUAUAAGUGCUGGGGGAACAGCACAGCUCAGUUUGUAAAGCAGGUGACCCAUGUAAAGAAGCAACAGUCUAUGCUGUACUGGUCCAAGGAUCAGAUCCUGGUCCCAGUAUGAACUGAUUCCUUUAACUAGGACAUAUGACGUUUUUGUAAGUUAUGAGCUGAGAUUACUGCUUAUUACUUUAUUGUUAUUGUGCAAUUAAAAUAAACCUGCUCAUAAAUACAUAAUGUAUGUUACAAUCAAUUAGCCAAUAUUUACAUCAGAUUAAACUGCACCGAUGUAUCAAUAUCUAUAUAUAGACUAUAGAUCUAUAGAUCUGUGUAUUUGUAUAUAUAUAUAUAUAUCUGUAUAUAUGUAUGUCUAUAUCAAUAGCUAAAUCCUUAUCUGUAUAUACCUAGAUCGAUAUCUGAAGUAUAACUAACAAUCUCUCACUCUCUCUAAAUUUAUAUAUAUAUAUAUAUAUAUAUAUAUAUAUAUAUAUAUAUAUAUUAGUCACCUGAUAAACAGAAAAAUUUGCUUAUUUCUAUAUUAUGAAAUAACAUCUUGCAUAUCCAUUGGAUUAACAUUUCUACAUCAUUACUUUAUUGCUCAUAAGUGCUUUUCUGGGAUAUGUAUAACUGACAGUAAGAUUGGUGUUCAAAAUUAAAAAUGAAAGAUAAUGGUAAUUCUAAAAAGCUAUGGUACAGGGUCUACAAAGAAAAAAAAAACACAAAAAGAAAGAAAAAGAAAAAAAAGGAAUAGAUAAUUUCAGCACCUUUACAUGUGAAAACCACUGUGGUGUGUGUGUGUGUGUGCAGUUUCACUUCAGUGUAAAGCAGCUCACUGUAGCCUCCAUCAGUCAGUCUACCGUGCGUUAACAUGCGGGUGCAGCCUCCUCACCUGGAGUGAUGAACAUGAGUCAGGCACCAUGUCCCGGUGAAAACCUUUUCAGUGAAUCAUUAAAACCAGGUCUCGGAGAGAGAACAUGAAAUUGAUUUUAAAUACAGAAAAAGGUGAAAUAGAUUUUUUUGUGUGUGAAGAUAAAUGCAGCUGAAUAACUUUUUCUCCCCUCUCUUUGUCUCCAUGUUUCCCCCUCUCUUUCUGGCUUUUCCAUCACACCCACCUUCCUCCCUCCCUCCUUCCCUCCCUCCUCUUGCAUGUCCAGCCGCUGGUCCCCUCUUCUCUCCCCUCUCCUCUCCAUAUUCCUCUUCAUACCCACUCUACCCCUCUCUUCCUCUCCCCCUCAACCUCGCUCCCUCUCCCUAACCCCACACCGUCCCCCCCUACACCCCCUUUUAGGUACGCCUCCAUCCCCUCUUGGCAGCUCCAUCUCCUCCUCCCUCCCUCUCUCUGGUUGGUUUCCACAGCUGUGGUGAGUGAGGGGCAGAUGACCGGAGAAUUGGCCCCUGGGAGAGCGCUGAGCCAUCCUGGUGCUAUUAGGCUCGUGGCUAAUAAUAGGUGUUUCAGACCAGGGGAAGAUCAAUCAGGGGGAAUCAUGGGGAAUGUUUGGAGCAGCGCUUUUUACACAUCGGCCCAGAUGGAUGAAAUUACACUUGUCAGUUUUUAGUUGCAUUACUCCCAAAUUGGUUGUCUACUCUUUUUUUUCUCUCCCUCCCCCUCUUUCUCUCCUUUCUCUCUCUUUGCCCUCAUUCAUGUGUCAGCCGCCCGCUAAAGGGAUUCGACGGUGAAAUCCAUGUCAUUUUUGUCUUUUCUCUGUUUAGCCCUCAGCUAGAAAACUCUCUUAGCCUGCAUAUGCACUUAAAAGAAAUCACUCUGAGAUCUUGUUUUACCGCUCAGGCAAUUUCCAUGUUAGAGGAAAGUGUGCGGCUGACAACAUCCUGCGUUUGUGUGCUCUGCAUGUUUAACAAAACAGUUUGACUGAUUCCAACACUUUAUCUUAAUAAUGGAUUUGUUUUCAAGCCAAGAUACUAAAUGUUCACUUUCUUGCAGCUGUUUGCAUUUGAGGAUUUCUGACACUCUCUGUGUUUUGGUAGAAUAUUAAAAACAAAUAGUUUGAGGAAACUAUACUCUUAAAUAUGUGCAUCUGAGAAACUUGUGUGCACAUCUUUGCAGACAAAAGAAUUCAGAAAGAAAAUAAUCUAUUUUGUAGUAGUUCUGAGAGUAUAAAGGGUUCAGAAAUGAAUGCAAAACAGGAACAAUUCAUUGAAAGUGCAUGUCUUUUUCACAAUUGCACUUUAUUUUUUCCUAACUGUAUGCAAGUACAUCUGCAAGGUGCAUAUAAACCCCCCUAUUGCUGUAAUUUCCUGUUUUUGUUUGAAUAAAAGUCACCAAACCUUA